RNAcentral lists this ribosomal RNA (731 nucleotides) under uncultured bacterium. RNAcentral describes it as "bacterial SSU rRNA". It matches the Rfam family "Bacterial small subunit ribosomal RNA", at positions 771 to 1501 of the family's 1533-position model. The record is from RNAcentral.
AACAGGAUUAGAUACCCUGGUAGUCCAUGCCGUAAACGAUGAGUGCUAGGUGUUGGAGGGUUUCCGCCCUUCAGUGCCGGAGCUAACGCAUUAAGCACUCCGCCUGGGGAGUACGACCGCAAGGUUGAAACUCAAAGGAAUUGACGGGGGCCCGCACAAGCGGUGGAGCAUGUGGUUUAAUUCGAAGCUACGCGAAGAACCUUACCAGGUCUUGACAUCUUGCGCCAACCCUAGAGAUAGGGCGUUUCCUUCGGGAACGCAAUGACAGGUGGUGCAUGGUCGUCGUCAGCUCGUGUCGUGAGAUGUUGGGUUAAGUCCCGCAACGAGCGCAACCCUUGUUACUAGUUGCCAGCAUUAAGUUGGGCACUCUAGUGAGACUGCCGGUGACAAACCGGAGGAAGGUGGGGACGACGUCAGAUCAUCAUGCCCCUUAUGACCUGGGCUACACACGUGCUACAAUGGACGGUACAAUGAGUCGCGAACUCGCGAGGGCAAGCAAAUCUCUUAAAACCGUUCUCAGUUCGGACUGCAGGCUGCAACUCGCCUGCACGAAGUCGGAAUCGCUAGUAAUCGCGGAUCAGCAUGCCGCGGUGAAUACGUUCCCGGGCCUUGUACACACCGCCCGUCACACCAUGAGAGUUUGUAACACCCAAAGUCGGUGGGGUAACCUUUUAGGAGCCAGCCGCCUAAGGUGGGACAGAUGAUUAGGGUGAAGUCGUAACAAGGUAACC